UCUCCGUUGGUGAACCAGCGGAGGGAUCAUUAGAGAGUCGCAAAACUCCCAAACCCGUGUGAACGUACCUUGCGUUGCCUCGGCAGGCCCCCGCGCCCGCCGAAGGCCCACGAGAACUCUGUUUAGCGAUGUCUUCUGAACGCGUGACUGAAUAAGUUAAAACUUUCAACAACGGAUCUCUUGGUUCUGGCAUCGAUGAAGAACGCAGC
Molecule: unclassified non-coding RNA, 209 nt
Filed under: uncultured fungus
Lineage: Eukaryota; Fungi
Description: sequence contains ITS1, 5.8S rRNA gene
Rfam family: 5.8S ribosomal RNA (bases 161-209)
Source: RNAcentral